RNAcentral lists this ribosomal RNA (407 nucleotides) under Colletotrichum gloeosporioides. Its description in RNAcentral is "SSU rRNA". It matches the Rfam family "Bacterial small subunit ribosomal RNA", at positions 450 to 894 of the family's 1533-position model. The record is from RNAcentral. Lineage: Eukaryota; Fungi; Ascomycota; Sordariomycetes; Glomerellales; Glomerellaceae.
GUUUUAAGUACGUAUUAAUAAUGAUAAUAUGUAUAAAAGUCUUGACCAAUUACGUGCCAGCAGUCGCGGUAAUACGUAGGAGCCGAGCAUUAUUCAUAUUAAAUAGGUUUAAAGGGUACCCAAACGGUCAAAAUACCUGAAAUAUAGGAGUACUUGACUAGAGUUAUAUGUAAGAAGACCGUACUUGAGGUGGAGAGAUUAUAUUUUAUGAUACCAAAAGGACUGAUAACGGCGAAGGCUGUCUUUUAUGUAAUAACUGACGUUGAAGGACGAAGGCAUAGAUAACUAACAGGAUUCGUUACCCUAGUAGUCUUUGCAGACAAUGAUGAAUGCCAUUAACUAGAUACUAAUUUUAGUUAUAUAAAUGAAAAUGAAAGCAUUUCACCUCAAGAGUAAUGUGGCAACGC